UUAAGCGACUAAGCGUACACGGUGGAUGCCCUGGCAGUCAGAGGCGAUGAAGGACGUGCUAAUCUGCGAAAAGCGUCGGUAAGGUGAUAUGAACCGUUAUAACCGGCGAUGUCCGAAUGGGGAAACCCAGUGUGAUUCGUCACACUAUCGUUAACUGAAUACAUAGGUUAACGAGGCGAACCGGGGGAACUGAAACAUCUAAGUACCCCGAGGAAAAGAAAUCAACCGAGAUUCCCCCAGUAGCGGCGAGCGAACGGGGAGCAGCCCAGAGUCUGAAUCAGCUUGUGUGUUAGUGGAACGGUCUGGAAAGUCCGACGGUACAGGGUGAUAGUCCCGUACACCAAAAUGCACAGGCUGUGAACUCGAAGAGUAGGGCGGGACACGUGGUAUCCUGUCUGAAUAUGGGGGGACCAUCCUCCAAGGCUAAAUACUCCUGACUGACCGAUAGUGAACCAGUACCGUGAGGGAAAGGCGAAAAGAACCCCGGCGAGGGGAGUGAAAAAGAACCUGAAACCGUGUACGUACAAGCAGUGGGAGCACCUUCGGGUGUGACUGCGUACCUUUUGUAUAAUGGGUCAGCGACUUAUAUUCUGUAGCAAGGUUAACCGUAUAGGGGAGCCGCAGGGAAACCGAGUCUUAACUGGGCGUUAAGUUGCAGGGUAUAGACCCGAAACCCGGUGAUCUAGCCAUGGGCAGGUUGAAGGUUGGGUAACACUAACUGGAGGACCGAACCGACUAAUGUUGAAAAAUUAGCGGAUGACUUGUGGCUGGGGGUGAAAGGCCAAUCAAACCGGGAGAUAGCUGGUUCUCCCCGAAAGCUAUUUAGGUAGCGCCUCGUGAAUUCAUCUUCGGGGGUAGAGCACUGUUUCGGCUAGGGGGUCAUCCCGACUUACCAACCCGAUGCAAACUACGAAUACCGAAGAAUGUUAUCACGGGAGACACACGGCGGGUGCUAACGUCCGUCGUGAAGAGGGAAACAACCCAGACCGCCAGCUAAGGUCCCAAAGUCAUGGUUAAGUGGGAAACGAUGUGGGAAGGCACAGACAGCCAGGAUGUUGGCUUAGAAGCAGCCAUCAUUUAAAGAAAGCGUAAUAGCUCACUGGUCGAGUCGGCCUGCGCGGAAGAUGUAACGGGGCUAAACCAUGCACCGAAGCUGCGGCAGCGACACUAUGUGUUGUUGGGUAGGGGAGCGUUCUGUAAGCCUGCGAAGGUGACCUGUGAGGGUUGCUGGAGGUAUCAGAAGUGCGAAUGCUGACAUAAGUAACGAUAAAGCGGGUGAAAAGCCCGCUCGCCGGAAGACCAAGGGUUCCUGUCCAACGUUAAUCGGGGCAGGGUGAGUCGACCCCUAAGGCGAGGCCGAAAGGCGUAGUCGAUGGGAAACAGGUUAAUAUUCCUGUACUUGGUGUUACUGCGAAGGGGGGACGGAGAAGGCUAUGUUAGCCGGGCGACGGUUGUCCCGGUUUAAGCAUGUAGGCUGGUUGUCCAGGCAAAUCCGGAUAAUCAAGGCUGAGGUGUGAUGACGAGGCACUACGGUGCUGAAGUAACAAAUGCCCUGCUUCCAGGAAAAGCCUCUAAGCAUCAGGUAACAUCAAAUCGUACCCCAAACCGACACAGGUGGUCAGGUAGAGAAUACCAAGGCGCUUGAGAGAACUCGGGUGAAGGAACUAGGCAAAAUGGUGCCGUAACUUCGGGAGAAGGCACGCUGGUGUGUAGGUGAAGUCCCUGCGGAUGGAGCUGAGACCAGUCGAAGAUACCAGCUGGCUGCAACUGUUUAUUAAAAACACAGCACUGUGCAAACACGAAAGUGGACGUAUACGGUGUGACGCCUGCCCGGUGCCGGAAGGUUAAUUGAUGGGGUUAUCCGUAAGGAGAAGCUCUUGAUCGAAGCCCCGGUAAACGGCGGCCGUAACUAUAACGGUCCUAAGGUAGCGAAAUUCCUUGUCGGGUAAGUUCCGACCUGCACGAAUGGCGUAAUGAUGGCCAGGCUGUCUCCACCCGAGACUCAGUGAAAUUGAACUCGCUGUGAAGAUGCAGUGUACCCGCGGCAAGACGGAAAGACCCCGUGAACCUUUACUAUAGCUUGACACUGAACAUUGAGCCUUGAUGUGUAGGAUAGGUGGGAGGCUUUGAAGCGUGGACGCCAGUCUGCGUGGAGCCAACCUUGAAAUACCACCCUUUAAUGUUUGAUGUUCUAACGUUGGCCCCUGACCGGGGUUGCGGACAGUGUCUGGUGGGUAGUUUGACUGGGGCGGUCUCCUCCCAAAGCGUAACGGAGGAGCACGAAGGUUAGCUAAUCCUGGUCGGACAUCAGGAGGUUAGUGCAAUGGCAUAAGCUAGCUUGACUGCGAGCGUGACGGCGCGAGCAGGUGCGAAAGCAGGUCAUAGUGAUCCGGUGGUUCUGAAUGGAAGGGCCAUCGCUCAACGGAUAAAAGGUACUCCGGGGAUAACAGGCUGAUACCGCCCAAGAGUUCAUAUCGACGGCGGUGUUUGGCACCUCGAUGUCGGCUCAUCACAUCCUGGGGCUGAAGUAGGUCCCAAGGGUAUGGCUGUUCGCCAUUUAAAGUGGUACGCGAGCUGGGUUUAGAACGUCGUGAGACAGUUCGGUCCCUAUCUGCCGUGGGCGCUGGAGAAUUGAGGGGGGCUGCUCCUAGUACGAGAGGACCGGAGUGGACGCAUCACUGGUGUUCGGGUUGUCAUGCCAAUGGCACUGCCCGGUAGCUAAAUGCGGAAGAGAUAAGUGCUGAAAGCAUCUAAGCACGAAACUUGCCCCGAGAUGAGUUCUCCCUGAGACUUUAAGUCUCCUGAAGGAACGUUGAAGACGACGACGUUGAUAGGCCGGGUGUGUAAGCGCAGCGAUGCGUUGAGCUAACCGGUACUAAUGAACCGUGAGGCUUAACCUU
Molecule: ribosomal RNA, 2900 nt
Filed under: Klebsiella pneumoniae
Lineage: Bacteria; Pseudomonadati; Pseudomonadota; Gammaproteobacteria; Enterobacterales; Enterobacteriaceae
Also listed under: 1 other name
Description: bacterial LSU rRNA
Rfam family: Bacterial large subunit ribosomal RNA
Source: RNAcentral